This 1993-nucleotide ribosomal RNA is filed under the name human gut metagenome. Its description in RNAcentral is "bacterial LSU rRNA". It matches the Rfam family "Bacterial large subunit ribosomal RNA", at positions 1 to 1990 of the family's 2925-position model. The record is from RNAcentral.
UAAAGCAAGAAAGGGCGUAUGGGGAAUGCCUAGGCACACUCCGGCGAAGAAGGACGCAGCAAACAGCGAAAUGCGACGGUGAGCGGUAAGCACGUGAAGAGCCGUCGAUAUCCGAAUGGGGGAACCCACACGGAGUCAUAUCCGUGUAUCACAUGUCGAAUACAUAGACAUGAUGAGGCGAGACGCAGGGAACUGAAACAUCUAAGUACCUGCAGGAGAAGAAAACAAACGUGAUUCCCCCAGUAGCGGCGAGCGACCGGGGAUAAGCCCAAACCGUUAUUGUUUCGGCAGUAGCGGGGUAGUAGGACUGCGACAUUGAUGAAAUAAAUGAAAUGGAACACCUUGGAAAAUGUGAUCACAGAGGGUGAUAAUCCCGUACAUGCAAGUUUAUGAAUCAUAGCAGUAUCCUGAGUAAGUCGGGACACGUGUAAUCCUGACCGAAUCCGCCGGGACCAUCCGGCAAGGCUAAAUACUCCUGAGAGACCGAUAGUGAACCAGUACCGUGAGGGAAAGGUGAAAAGCACUUCGAACAGAAGAGUGAAAUAGUCCCUGAACCCAUACGCCUACAAGCUGUCGGAGCCGCUUCGUGCGGUGACGGCGUGCCUUUUGCAUAAUGAGCCUACGAGUUACUCAUCACCAGCGAGGUUAAGUACUUCAGGUACGUAAGCCGAAGCGAAAGCGAGUCUGAAUAGGGCGUCAAGUUGGUGGUGGUAGACGCGAAACCUUAGUGAUCUACCCAUGGGCAGGGUGAAGGUUUGGUAACACAAACUGGAGGCCCGAACCGGUAAACGUUGAAAAGUUUUCGGAUGACCUGUGGGUAGGGGUGAAAGGCCAAUCAAACUGGGAAAUAGCUCGUACUCUCCGAAAUGCAUUUAGGUGCAGCCUCUGUUGUUUUGUUCUAGAGGUAGAGCUACUGAUUGGAUGCGAGGGCUUCACCGCCUAUCAAAUCCGGCCAAACUCCGAAUGCUAGAACAUGAAGACAGGGAGUGAGCCAGCGGGUGCUAAGGUCCGUUGACGAAAGAGGGAGAACUCAGACCAUCAGCUAAGGUCCCCAAUUAUAUGCUAAGUUGGAAUUAAAACGGGGUGGGACUGCUUAGACAGCUAGGAUGUUGGCUUGGAAGCAGCCAUUCAUUUAAAGAGUGCGUAACAGCUCACUAGUCGAGCGGUCCUGCAUGGAUAAUACGCGGGCAUAAGCAUAUAACCGAAGCUAUGGGAUUGUAGAUGAUACAAUCGGUAGGAGAGCAUUCCAUUCAGCGUAGAAGCAGUAUCGUGAGGUAUUGUGGAGCGGAUGGAAAAGCAAAUGUAGGCAUAAGUAACGAUAAUGCGGGUGAGAACCCCGCACGCCGAAAGAUCAAGGAUUCCCCGGCAAUGUCAAUCAUCCGGGGGUAAGUCGGAUCCUAAGGGUAAGCCGAGUGGCGAUCCCGAUGGCAAACAGGUUAAUAUUCCUGUACUGAUCAUAACUGCGAUGCAGCGACGCAGAGGUGACACUGCUGCGUACUGACGGAAUAGUACGUUGAAACCCGUAUUCUUUGAUACCGGUAGUGAAGCACGCCGGUAGAGAUGAAAGGUGAUAGUACCGCAAUGCUUCGGUUGCGCGGAUAACGCAGGUAAGCUGACUGCCAAGAAAACCUGCUAAGCUUCAGGUAAUGAUCAUCCGUACUGUAAACGGACACACGUGAUCAGGUAGAAAAUACUAAGGCGCUCGAGAGAUUCAUGGUUAAGGAACUAGGCAAAAUGGUCCUGUAACUUCGGGAUAAAGGACGCUCUUGUGAAAGAGCCGCAGAUAAUAGGCCCAGGCGACUGUUUACCAAAAACACAUGGCUAUGCUAAUUCGCAAGAAGAUGUAUAUGGCCUGACACCUGCCCGGUGCCGGAAGGUUAAGAGGAGAGCUCAGAGGCAACUCGAAGGUUUGAAUUGAAGCCCCGGUAAACGGCGGCCGUAACUAUAACGGUCCUAAGGUAGCGAAAUUCCUUGUCGGGUAAGUUCCGACCUG